Long non-coding RNA from Panthera uncia (snow leopard), 976 nucleotides. RefSeq lists it as uncharacterized. The record is from RefSeq and is a predicted model, not a curated record. The transcript has 3 exons. Lineage: Eukaryota; Metazoa; Chordata; Mammalia; Carnivora; Felidae.
AGGGUCCCGCCCCGUACUUGAAGCCUGGGACGAGCCGGGCCUGCGCUCUGAUAGGACCCAGCCCAAUCUCACUCGGGCGUCCUCUGCCGGAGGCUGGGUUCCAGGCUGCGGGGCUGGGAGGGGCUUCCCGGACGCCAGAGAAAUGGCCCCAGCCCUGCCGGACAGCGGUUGACUGCUUUCAGCAGGUGGAGCCCAGCGCCCGGGCCAGGGAUACAGCGGGAGACUCCGGGCAGGCAGCCCUCCGCCUACGCAGGCACACAACCCUGGGACUGACGUAGUAACUGAUGCCUCAAACUCAAUCUUGGUCCAGUUUGUGCAAGACUCGGCGCCCUGUUUACCUGCCUCUUCUAGCCCCAGCUCUGUCUUGCCAGCCGCUCCUUCCCCUUAACAGUGCGACUCUUUUUGCAACCCUCAAGCAAUAAUUUAUACCAUUGCUUUUUAAAGGAAUCUUGUUCACCCUGUGUCUUGGCAAGAGAGUAGUGACCACACAGAUAUCUGCUUAAUCUCUUUUUCUAUACACUGAGACUGAAGUUUGCCCAGCGAAGAUAAUGCUUCAAGCACUCUGCAGCAUCCCUGGCUUCCCUACCCGUCUACAAUUCUUCAUGAUGUCCAAGAGUGAUAUGGAAGAUACUGGCUAGUGAGGAAGAUGUUUCAGGCACAUGAAGUACAUUGAUAACAGCCCCCAUAUACCUGAUAGCAUCUUAAGAACAAACCUCAGCAGACACUGGUGCCAACAGCCCCUUCCUUCGGUGAUUUGUGGAAUAACACCUAUUGUUCACCUGACACUCACCUUUGAUUGGACCCUACCCUGGAUUCGUGAAGGAACCCAUGCCCUGGACCCCUUUCCAACAUAAAGCCCUAAUCCCAAGCAGUGGAGAAACUCACUUCUUUUCUGAGCCUCCCAGACACUCCAUCUGGGGUAUUCUAUCUGUUCUGUGCUAUCACUUAGGUUAUUCAUUAAACUCUGCUCUCACUU